Molecule: ribosomal RNA, 545 nt
Filed under: uncultured Bacteroidales bacterium
Lineage: Bacteria; Pseudomonadati; Bacteroidota; Bacteroidia; Bacteroidales
Description: bacterial SSU rRNA
Rfam family: Bacterial small subunit ribosomal RNA
Source: RNAcentral
CAUAAAACAGGGACACCGCAUGGUGAUAUUUGUUAAAGAAAUUCGCUGAUAGAUGGGCAUGCGUUCCAUUAGGUAGUUGGUGAGGUAACGGCUCACCAAGCCGACGAUGGAUAGGGGAACUGAGAGGUUGGUCCCCCACACUGGUACUGAGACACGGGCCAGACUCCUACGGGAGGCAGCAGUGAGGAAUAUUGGUCAAUGGGCGAGAGCCUGAACCAGCCAAGUCGCGUGAAGGAAGAAGGAUCUAUGGUUCGUAAACUUCUUUUGCAGGGGAAUAAAGUGCAGGACGUGUCCUGUUUUGUAUGUACCCUGAGAAUAAGGAUCGGCUAACUCCGUGCCAGCAGCCGCGGUAAUACGGAGGAUCCGAGCGUUAUCCGGAUUUAUUGGGUUUAAAGGGUGCGUAGGUGGUUUGAUAAGUCAGCGGUGAAAGUUUGCAGCUUAACUGUAAAAAUGCCGUUGAAACUGUCGGACUUGAGUGUAAAUGAGGUAGGCGGAAUGCGUGGUGUAGCGGUGAAAUGCUUAGAUAUCACGAAGAACUCCGAUUG